GCUUGGUGGAAAGAGCUAAAAAUAAGUCCAGCACAGGUUCUCUGGAGAUGGGGAGGCCGCCUGCACAUAGAUCUAUUGGUCUCAUCUCUGCCUCAGCUUCCAGCCUGAGUUCUCACAGACUGCAGCUCCAGGAGGCAGAUGGUAUCAUCCCAUCUUGCAGAGGGACAAACCAAAGCUUGCUCACAGACACACAGCAAUCUCUAUCUCCAUCUCUCUGAGGGCCUCUAAAGGAAAUCAUACAUGAAGAAAACCAGACCCGAGACUAAAGAAGUAAUUUGGCUGAAGAGAAAACAAAUCCAUGAAACUUGAAUGAAUUUAAGAGCCGCUUCAUAUUCUUUUUUUUUUGGUACGCGGGGAUCGAACUCGGGUCCUUGCGCUUGCAGGGUGGGUGGCAGAACCAUUGAGCUAAAACCCUGGCCAGAGCCCCUUCAUAUUAUAACAUUCAAGAUUCUCAGGAAACCAACUUCCUGCACCUCACUCUCAACAGAGGUUGGGGGUGCUGGCACUCAGUCUGCCUGAUGCAGGGACCUCCAGGCUCUCUUCUCCAUCAUCUCAUUCUGGAGUUAGUGAUGCCACCGAAUUUUAGAAUCAGAGAAUCAAAGGAUUCAACAACCUUAGACACUUGUCCAUUGAACUAGAGAAGAGUUCCAGAGCCAGAUUCCAACCAGACAUCAGACUGAGCUCAGAGAAUCAAAUGAUCCAAGAACCUUAGACAUUGAACACACAGAACUAGAGAGUUCCACAGGCAGGAUUCCGACUGGAUGUCAAACUGAGUCUCAGGACUCAAAGGACCAAAGAAACUUAAGACACUGAACACAUAGAACUAGAGAGUUGCAGAGCCAGCAUUCCAACUAGACAUCAGACAGAGCUCAUACAGAGAAACUUCUGUACCAGUGGGCUACCAAUUCCAAAAAGGUAAUAUGCCAAAUAAAAUAUAUAGAACUAAUUCGAGAAGAUACAUUUUCAACUGUAUACAGUUCACAAACAGGCAACACUAGUGUAUAGGGAUAGAAGUGAAAGAGUAGUCCUCCGAGGGAGACCAAUGACUGGAGGGUCAUAAAAGAGGCUUUUUUUUUAGACAGUCCUGGCUCUAUAAUUCAGUCUGGCCUUGAACUCACUAUGUAGCCUAGGCUGGCCUCAAACUCUCAGAGAUUCUUUCGCCUGAGCCACUUAAGUGUUGGAAUUACAGGCAUACUCUACUUCCCCCUGGCAAAAGAGCCUUUUUCAAAUCAGGAAAUGCUUUGUGCAUUGAACUGAAUAGUGAUUUACAGUAUGUAUAUUACAUGAACACUUUUUUCAAAAAAAUACAUUCCUGGGGGGAAUGCUGGGACACUAUAGCAAGGACUGUUAAAAUGAAUCUGAGGAAGCAAAGCCCCAGUGACUUCUUAAGGCAAAUUAUCAGAUGGCCAGUUAGGGUAAAAUUAAAUUUUGGAGUGGAUUAUUGAGGAGUGCUGGCUUACCUGAGUAACUAUACGAAUAUAGCCUGGGAGCAGACAGAAGAAUAUGUGGGAGGAGAGCUGAAGAGGUAUUUAUCUGAGGAAUCAAUGCAUUAUACAUAAGUACAUAGAUGAGAAGGAUGUGAAGACACCAAUGAAGCAAUUAUUUUCAUAGUUGCGUAUAUUUUUAUGAAAUGUUUUUCUAUAUUUAGGUUCUUUUGUGAUGUAAAUUGUCCUGUUUUCAUGGUAGCUGGUGAUUUUUUCAUUGACAUGUAUGAUAAAUGUAUAAAAUUAUGGAUUGAAUUAUAAAGACAAUGUCACAUUUAAGUUUCAGUCAUAUUCUUUUAUUCCGUGUCAUUAUUAAAAAGGACAAGAUUAAAAAAUAUAUUGGUAGUGGUUCUGCUGCCUGCCUUGCAAGCAUAAGGACCCGAGUUCGAUCCCCGGUACCAAAACAAACAAACAAACAAACAAA
Heterocephalus glaber (naked mole-rat) is the source of this 1908-nucleotide long non-coding RNA. Lineage: Eukaryota; Metazoa; Chordata; Mammalia; Rodentia; Bathyergidae. The record is from Ensembl.